This 840-nucleotide long non-coding RNA is filed under the name Vitis vinifera (wine grape). RNAcentral describes it as "long non-coding RNA (VVIN_LNC000696)". Lineage: Eukaryota; Viridiplantae; Streptophyta; Magnoliopsida; Vitales; Vitaceae. The record is from RNAcentral.
UUUUACAUGUAACUGAGAUGGCUACAGGGAAGGAAAAGAGUAGUGUUGUCCAUGGCGAAGCCCAGAAGGUUGUGACGGAGUUUGAUGCUCCUAAGAAGAAUGGAAGAAACAAGUAUGCCAUUGCUUGUACUAUUUUGGCUUCUAUGACCUCCAUUUUGUUGGGUUAUGGUGAGUUCAGAUGGGUUUUUAUGGGGUGGUUUGUUUUAUGGGAAAAAAAGAAGUAUGUCUUGGUAUAGUUUGUAUAAUUUUUUUUUUCAGUGGAGCCAAACACUAUGAUAUGGUCUUUAGACUCUGUACUGAUUUUUUUUUUAAUUAAUUAAUUAAUUUAAUUUUUUUCUGUGUUUUUGUGUGUUGCAGAUAUUGGAGUAAUGAGUGGAGCGGCCAUAUAUAUAAAAAAGGACCUCAAGAUCAGCGAUGUAGAAGUCGAAAUUCUGGUGGGAAUCCUCAACGUGUAUUGUUUAUUCGGUUCUGCUGCCGCCGGCAGGACCUCAGACUGGAUCGGUCGCCGAUACACAAUAGUAUUGGCCUCUGUCAUCUUCUUCCUCGGGGCUCUGCUCAUGGGCUUCGCUACCAACUAUGUUUUUCUCAUGGUGGGCCGCUUCGUGGCCGGAAUCGGCGUUGGCUACGCCCUCAUGAUCGCUCCUGUCUACGCCGCCGAGGUUUCUCCGGCGUCCUCACGUGGCUUCAUCACCUCAUUCCCCGAAGUUUUCAUCAACGCUGGAAUCUUAUUCGGCUAUAUCUCCAACUACGCCUUCUCCAAGCUCCCAACUAACCUUGGCUGGCGAUUCAUGCUUGGCAUCGGUGCAAUUCCCUCCGUUUUCCUCGCCUUGGUCGUCAUCG